AAAGUCGUUGCAAGGUUUCCGCAAGUGUCGUUGUUCUUGCCAAUGUAUAGGGGGUAUGGAAGGUGAGCUCUUUAGUGGGCGGUGGAAAUAUCUAUCUAACUCUAUUCAUUCUUACAGUCAAAAAUGUGUAUUACUAUUUAGUUGAUCGUCGGAUUUACUGCCUAAGUAGUACCGGUAUACCGUACACUAAUUCGAUUUUAACCCCGUGAGUAACGCAUGCUAGUUUUUAUUAUUGCCUGAAAAACCCUCAUUAAAUACAACCUUUAACAAUGGAUCUCUAGGCUCCU
RNAcentral lists this unclassified non-coding RNA (287 nucleotides) under Basidiomycota sp. Its description in RNAcentral is "partial internal transcribed spacer 1". The record is from RNAcentral. Lineage: Eukaryota; Fungi; Basidiomycota.